CCCUUAGAUGUCCUGGGCCGCACGCGCGUUACACUGAUGCAUUCAACGAGCUUAUAACCUUGGCCGAGAGGCCUGGGCAAUCUUGUUAACGUGCAUCGUGAUAGGGAUAGAUUAUUGAAAUUAUUAAUCUUGAACGAGGGAUUCCUAGUAAACGCAGAUCAUCAAUCUGCAUUGAUUACGUCCCUGCCCUUUGUACACACCGCCCGUCGCACCUACCGAUUGGAUGGUCCGGUGAAGCCUCGGGAUUGUGGUUCUUGCCGCUUUAUUGUGGCGUGACCGCGAGAACUUGUCUAAACCUUAUCAUCUAGAGGAAGGUGAAGUCGUAACA
This 328-nucleotide ribosomal RNA is filed under the name uncultured eukaryote. RNAcentral's name for it is "partial 18S ribosomal RNA". It matches the Rfam family "Eukaryotic small subunit ribosomal RNA", at positions 1470 to 1796 of the family's 1831-position model. The record is from RNAcentral.